UGCUAGUUUCGGUUCAGAUGCUCAGCGCCCUUAGCUAAUUAUCGAUGAUUUAGGCAUGAGAUAAUGAAAGAGAAGAAUCCAACUGUUGCUGCUUCUACUUCAAUUUUCAAGAAAGUAUUGUUGAAUUGUUCAGCUCAGGCGAAAGUGUAUGGCAGUUGUGUUGCAGCGAAGGUUCCAGAAGUAGAACGUGAUAUGUGUUUAAAAGAAUUCCUUGAAUUGAGCAAUUGCAUGAAAAGCAUGAUAAGAAGAAAGGCUUGAAUAGUAUAUAUACGCAAGUUAAGAGUGAUAAGCAGCUGUUGUUGAAGUUAAAUCAAGCAUGAAAAAGUCUGUAGUUCUACAUAGGGGGAAGUGAAACAUGUCAGCACAAGCAUCUUCAUCUCAGCCUUCUGGUUUUGGUAGUUCUGGUGCUCUAUCACAUGUGUAUAUUCAGUAUCCACCUUUAAGAUGCACAAUCUCUGGAGCAAGAAAUAUUUUCUAUGAUGAUGGCACGAAACAGCUUAUUGUUCCCACAUCUGAUCAGGUUUUCUGUUGGAAAACAACUCCAUUUAAUCCAAAUGUGACUCCAUCCUCUGAUCAAAUAGGCGAAGGUCCAGUUUUG
Molecule: unclassified non-coding RNA, 598 nt
Filed under: Hevea brasiliensis (rubber tree)
Lineage: Eukaryota; Viridiplantae; Streptophyta; Magnoliopsida; Malpighiales; Euphorbiaceae
Source: RNAcentral